GGAAGUUGUGAGGCAGGGAAAGCAAAGAUCAAAGCUGUUGCUCAACUGAGGCAGUGUCUGAAUGGCUCAGUUGUCUCCAGAGGGAAGGUUUGGUCUCCAGUUAUUCUGCAACAUGUUCCACUCUUUUGGAAGCCUGAAGAAAAGCCCAGGUGGGACAUGGGGGAAGCAGCGCUAGACCUGCAGUAAGAUCUAUAACCUCAAAGGAGCCAACCCAUGUCUUGUGGUCUGUGCGUGUGUGGCACCCAGCCCCAGGCCACCCACAACAUGUUCCUUUGCACCUGCUGGUAGGUCUCUGGUCUGCGACAUUGUGGUCCCAAAUUGAGGUCAAAGAGGUAGCAGUGUUGAGCCUGGAGCUCAAAACGAAGGCUCCUUCUCAAAGGACACUUUUGUACCUCUCUGUAGCGACUUUGGUAAGUCCUCUCCCUUUUUUUUUCACAGCCGAAAAAGUCCUGCCAAGAAGAAAGUCUACAGGGCCUGCUCACAUUCCAGCAACACUCUGGCCUCCAGAAGUCCCUUUCACAGCACACAAUAUGGCAUUGUGAUUAGAUAUAAACUGAAAGUGUAUUUCUUGCCCUUCAGUAAUUACACUGGCUUAUGGGAGCUUUAUUCAGCAUGAAGCCUUAUUAUUCUGCAGAAUGAAAUUCUGUAUAAUUUUCCUCUCCUCCAACGCGCAGAUGAAAAAUCAUAUUUUGGUCCGAGUUGGGAAGAAAAGCUCAGUUAUCACUUGAGAGCGUGGUGUUAUUUUCCCCCGGAAUUAAAAAAUCCAUCUGGGUGUACGACCCCGUUCACCCUCCUGCCUCUCCAUUCAGCCUUUUGUAUGCAUAUGAACCUUAUCAAUUUCCACCGCUGCAGAAAGGUGAACCAAAACAGCAUGCCUCCCCCAGUCCUCCUCACUCUAAUGGAAACCGUGUGAGCUGGAGCAAUAAAUGGAUGUAAACCCUCUGGCUCCACCAAGAAGAGGAGGAAGGAGCAGAUGGAAAGCCUGUUUUAUCACUGCUGCCCAUCAGCAGGGGCACUAGCAUCAAUGCAAUCCCAUUGUCAGCACAGGGAUGUCAGGACAGCCUGGUUGUGUGCAUCACAGCAGCUUCAAUCAAGGCCUGAUUCUAAAAGCAAUAAGAACAAGUAAGGCAGCUUCCUUCACUUCAUUUGCUAAGCUCUUGGCCACUGGUAUCUGGAGUCCCUUACACAGGCACAGCCCAACUCUCAUCCCCUAUCAACCUGUUUCUUAGCACAGCAGACACUUUCUUCCUGAAUCUCAUGUACCAGUCAUGGUCCAAAGAAGAGCAGGAGACCGCUCUGUAUUAUUUCCAUGUCCAAAUUAAUUGUUCAUAUUAGCAGACAUUCAGGUUCUCCAGUCUCCAUACAACACGCCUUCACAGCUGCCCCAUCCAUUUCUCUAUGAGCCAUUUUCACGGCCCCCACCAGCACUGAUCUCAGAACACCUCCUGUCCUAUCCACAUCUUGGGCGACUUAAAUGUCUACCUGUGACCACAAAUACCUCCAGUUCCAAAGGGUGCAGCUCCCUCUGAAGCCAAAACACCCUGGAGAAGGGAAAGGAUCAAAGAAAGGCGAGGACACAAGAGACAGCUGAUGAGGGGAAAAACACAGCAUUGUGCUGGUGGGGAAAUUCUUCAGCCUUCACGUUUGAAAGAGGCUUUGCUUGGCUGGACAGCAAGCACUGUCUGUUCACCAGGCUGAACAUCCUCUGCCUCCAAUAUAGAUGUCACCAGCUGCUUUGGGAUCACUUGGGCUCCUCGUAUGUUCCUUCUUGCUCUCCGAUGCAGCCUUCCUGUAAAAGCAUCCUCCUCUUUGGGAUUUUCUUCCUAGAAAAGCUUUAGAAGGCAAUUUUGUAGGAGUGACUCGAGUGCGGAGCAAAGAUGAGCUCUGACAUAGGUCAAAGUGUGUGACUGAAUCAAGACUUCUGAGUUCAAGAAUCUCUUCUGGCACAGGAGGUGAUCACAGCCACUGGAAGCCGGGCUUUUUUUACCCACAAACUCUGAUGAGGGGUUUUGCACUAUGGCAGGAGCAACAAGCACCAAUAAGGGAGAUACUCAUCCUGCUCUUGAAGGAACAAGCCUGAAGUUUUAUCCGCUGUCUCUUGGUGCCCAGAAGUUGUUUCAAGGAGCGUGGAAAGAUCUCAUUAUAUUGUCAGUAACAAAUAUUUAUGGUUUUCUUCUUUAAAUAAACAUAGUCAGCCUCCCUGGAGGUGUUCCAGAGCCAUGGAGAUGUGGCACUGAGGGACAUGGUCAGUGGGCAGGGUAGGAUGGGUUGGGAUUGAUGAUCUUAGAGGUCUUUUCCAACCUUAAUGAUUCCAUAGUCAAAAAGAAAACGAAAGAAGAAAAAAGGGAAAGAAGGAGAAGCCAAAAAAGACAUCCCAGAAUCUCCAACUUUCCUGGAUUUCUGAAGAGGUAAGGAAAGGCAUUUUCAGUAUCUAUGAAUUCUCCCUGCGCCCAUGUUAGUCCACGGCUGUCCUUGUGCAUGAAGUGAGUUAUUACCAAACUGAAAGACCUCAGCUUCACGCCGGAGGGGGCUUUUGUCUUUCCUUUCACGCCAGCUCCAGGAGCCUCUCAGCCAAGCCUCCUGAUGGCAUGUGCUGUGCUUACCUGUGAUUUAUUGAUGAUAAUCGUGGGGCAAGCCAUUUGUAAUCGGACGUACAACAAAGACAUUCUCGCGCUGAGAGGGAGUGAUAACGCACCAUUUAGUAAUUUUUGUGCAGUCAGUAAUUUGGAGAAUGAAUGAUAAUUUCCCCAACUGAAAACCUGCAAUGACAACCCUUAGUGCUAUUCACCUCGUGAAUAAAGAUACCUUCCUCUCCA
This is a long non-coding RNA of Coturnix japonica (Japanese quail), 2816 nucleotides long. RefSeq lists it as uncharacterized. NCBI's taxonomy places the organism in Eukaryota, Metazoa, Chordata, Aves, Galliformes, Phasianidae. The record is from RefSeq and is a predicted model, not a curated record.